GCCGUCUUAGCUCAGUUGGUAGAGCGUGGCAUUCGUAACGCCAAGGUCCGGAGUUCGAUCCUCCGAGACGGCU
Molecule: transfer RNA, 73 nt
Filed under: Candidatus Moraniibacteriota bacterium
Lineage: Bacteria; Candidatus Moraniibacteriota
Description: tRNA-Thr
Rfam family: tRNA
About the family: Transfer RNA (tRNA) molecules are approximately 80 nucleotides in length. Their secondary structure includes four short double-helical elements and three loops (D, anti-codon, and T loops).
Source: RNAcentral